GCUCCGGUGGCCUAGUGGUUUGAUCUUCCGGCUCGGAUAUAGGAGGGCGCGGGUUUGAACCCCGGCCGAAUCA
This is a non-coding RNA of Potamilus streckersoni, 73 nucleotides long. NCBI's taxonomy places the organism in Eukaryota, Metazoa, Mollusca, Bivalvia, Unionida, Unionidae. The record is from the annotation of a GenBank genome assembly.